UACGUAGGGGGCGAGCGUUAUCCGGAAUUAUUGGGCGUAAAGAGUGCGUAGGUGGUUUUUUAAGCGUGGGGUGAAAGGCAAUAGCUUAACUAUUGUAAGCCCCGCGAACUGGGAGACUUGAGUGCAGGAGAGGAAAGCGGAAUUCCUAGUGUAGCGGUGAAAUGCGUAGAUAUUAGGAGGAACACCAGUGGCGAAGGCGGCUUUCUGGACUGUAACUGACACUGAGGCACGAAAGCGUGGGGAGCAAACAGGAUUAGAUACCCUGGGAGUCCCCGCCGUAAACGAUGAGCACUAGGUGUCGGGGCCGCAAGGCUUCGGUGCCGCAGUUAACGCAUUAAGUGCUCCGCCUGGGGAGUACGUACGCAAGUAUGAA
RNAcentral lists this ribosomal RNA (373 nucleotides) under uncultured bacterium. Its description in RNAcentral is "bacterial SSU rRNA". It matches the Rfam family "Bacterial small subunit ribosomal RNA", at positions 524 to 898 of the family's 1533-position model. The record is from RNAcentral.